CAAGCAAUUUACAACAAAUUAAAAGUAUGAUGAUUGAUCCAAACCAAAUUAAUGAACUGUCCAAACCUUUUUAUUUUCCUUUUUUCUGUUUCAGUUCUCUCGCGGUCAACAGUCAACGAUUUAAAAUUCCUACUACGUUGUUCUUAGAAUUGGUUUGUGAAUUUAAAAAUUGAUAAACGAAUUAAAAUUACCAUUUCUCCAUUACUAUUUUCUCUCAAGUUUUGAAACCCACAGUAUCCCGCUCACAGCUCACUCACUCUCUCUCUCUCUCUCUCUAAGCUCUGUUCUCUCUUUUGGGGAAGCCUUUUUGGAGCUUUGAGGAUGAGAAAACCAGGUCCCAUUCAUAACCAUUUGCACAUAUAUAUAUUUAUAUAUAUAUUAACGUAGAAUGUAUAUGUUCUUGAAUUUUGAUACAUUUAGUUUACUGGCAGCAGAAUGACUAGGGCUCAUUGAUUUUCUUAUAAUGUUCCGAAAUUUUGACGUUUCGAUCGUCAGUAUGUUAAAUGGAGUCAUAACUUGUUUGUUAAUGAGAAGAAGCGGCGACGAUUCGGAGAGGCUAAGAGAAACUAAGCUAUGGAUUCUUUUGAAGGAUUUUUUUUGUUAUUUGUGGCACUUACUCUUACUCAGAGUAUAGCAUGACCACUCUGAGUCAAGAUUUGAGUUUAUUGAAAUUUUAUUUUUGGAAAUAUUGAAUAAGAAUGAAAAAUAAGACCCAUGAUUUUAUUUCCUUUAUUUAUCUCAUUUAGAUUUGAAUUUGAGUUACUGCCUAAUUCUCCGGACGGCGAUGAGUUAUUGUUUUGGCAAAUCUUGAAGCUUAACUUUUGUCAACCAUUUUUCUGAUUUUGGGGUUUGGCUUCUUCUCAUUCAUUUCCAUCUUCUUAAAUUCGAGUAUUUUCAAGCUUUUAUAUGUCUUUGUAGCUUAUAAUUAUCAUUGUUAUAUAUAUAUAUAUUUGUAAAACAUCUUUGUAGGUUAUAUUGUUUAUAGGUCUGUUUAUUCCUUGAAAUUCUUUUCAACCAAACAUUUCAUCAGAAGAAGGAACGCUGCAAUCAGUUUCCCAAGGUCAACCUAGUGUGCAAAAUUUGAUGAUUCUUUGUCUUUAAUCUUUGGCAUAUAUUCUUUUUUCUCUUCACUUAUACUGAAUCAGUAUGAUGCAUGAGUUGCCUGAUAACCAAAGCAAAUAUGGUAUAGGCAUUUGAAAGCGUUUCAUGAGUGUUGUAAAACUAUUUAAUUAUAUCAUCGCUAGGAUUUUGUUCUCAAGAUGAUUAUUACAGUUCAUUGUAUGUAGGCUCUCUGUAGAUUUCAUUAUUAACAGGAUUGAUAAAACUUCUUGUUUCCAUUCCCAUCUUUCUUUAUACAUAGUGUGUUGUGUGUACCAACGAGGUUUUGGCUCGUACUACUUGUUCUUAAAUUCAAUUGCUUGAUUUGAUAAUUUUGCAGCAGGCAUAAGUUGUUUAGUUAAAGUUUCAUGCUUUGUUUUGCUUUUCUCCAGGGAUUAUUAAUAUGAGAAAAGAAAAUCUUGUUUCUGCCAAAGUUGGCGGUCUCAAUGGUUGUAUCACACGUGAUCGAGCUUAUGCUUUGCGCGCAUAUGGACAGAAAGUCCCUUUAAAAGCACUUUCACAACAAGCUCCAAAAAUGCGGCGAAAUACAGGAAAAGCAGCCUUCGAUAAUGCAAAGCUAACGCAAAAU
Molecule: long non-coding RNA, 1687 nt
Filed under: Carica papaya (papaya)
Lineage: Eukaryota; Viridiplantae; Streptophyta; Magnoliopsida; Brassicales; Caricaceae
Description: long non-coding RNA (CPAP_LNC012017)
Source: RNAcentral